This 579-nucleotide ribosomal RNA is filed under the name Diaporthe sp. 99AS/S. RNAcentral describes it as "eukaryotic LSU rRNA". The stretch from base 205 to 358 matches the Rfam family "5.8S ribosomal RNA". The record is from RNAcentral. Lineage: Eukaryota; Fungi; Ascomycota; Sordariomycetes; Diaporthales; Diaporthaceae.
UCCGUAGGUGAACCUGCGGAGGGAUCAUUGCUGGAACGCGCUUCGGCGCACCCAGAAACCCUUUGUGAACUUAUACCUAUCUGUUGCCUCGGCGUAGGCCGGCCUCUUCACUGAGGCCCCCUGGAAACAGGGAGCAGCCCGCCGGCGGCCAACUAAACUCUUGUUUCUAUAGUGAAUCUCUGAGUAAAAACAUAAAUGAAUCAAAACUUUCAACAACGGAUCUCUUGGUUCUGGCAUCGAUGAAGAACGCAGCGAAAUGCGAUAAGUAAUGUGAAUUGCAGAAUUCAGUGAAUCAUCGAAUCUUUGAACGCACAUUGCGCCCUCUGGUAUUCCGGAGGGCAUGCCUGUUCGAGCGUCAUUUCAACCCUCAAGCCUGGCUUGGUGAUGGGGCACUGCCUUCUAGCGAGGGCAGGCCCUGAAAUCUAGUGGCGAGCUCGCUAGGACCCCGAGCGUAGUAGUUAUAUCUCGUUCUGGAAGGCCCUGGCGGUGCCCUGCCGUUAAACCCCCAACUUCUGAAAAUUUGACCUCGGAUCAGGUAGGAAUACCCGCUGAACUUAAGCAUAUCAAUAAGCGGAGGAA